RNAcentral lists this ribosomal RNA (408 nucleotides) under uncultured bacterium. RNAcentral describes it as "partial 16S ribosomal RNA". It matches the Rfam family "Bacterial small subunit ribosomal RNA", at positions 28 to 526 of the family's 1533-position model. The record is from RNAcentral.
GACGAACGCUGGCGGCGUGCUUAACACAUGCAAGUCGAACGAAGUGGCGAACGGGUGAGUAAUACGUGGGUAACCUGCCCUCCUUUUUGGGAUAAGCCUUGGAAACGGGGUCUAAUACCGCAUACAGGGGGAUGGGCUCGCGGCCGAUGGGCUGGUUGGUGGGGUGGUGGCCUACCAAGGCGGUGCCGGGUAGCCGGACUGAGAGGGUGAUCGGCAACAGGGGGACUGCGAUACUGCCCAGGCGCCUACGGGAGGCAGAAGUGGGGGAUAUUGCACAAGUGGCGAAAGGCUGAUGCGGCGACGCCGUGUGGGGGAUCAAGGCUUUAGGGUUGUAAACCUCUUUCGCUAGCGAACGGGUACGUGGAGAAGAAGCGCCGGCUAACUACGUGCCAGCAGCCGCGGUAAUUC